UGCGUAGGCGGGUUUCUAAGUCAGAGGUGAAAGCCUGGAGCUCAACUCCAGAACUGCCUUUGAUACUGGAAGUCUUGAGUAUGGCAGAGGUGAGUGGAACUGCGAGUGUAGCAGUGAAAUGCGUAGAUAUCAAGUGGAACACCAGUGGCGAAGGCGAGUCCCUGGAAAACUCCUGACACUGAGGCACAAAGGCUAGGGAGCAAACA
This 206-nucleotide ribosomal RNA is filed under the name uncultured bacterium. RNAcentral describes it as "partial 16S ribosomal RNA". It matches the Rfam family "Bacterial small subunit ribosomal RNA", at positions 568 to 774 of the family's 1533-position model. The record is from RNAcentral.